GCAGAAGGAUCUCUCUGCAGGAAAUUCUAGGUUCUGGAGCUUUGCCACGUGUUUCAGAUUCAGAAUAAGAAAACCCUGCUUGAAAAUGAGCGACAUCUGGCUUUAUUUCCCCGUGCAAGAUGUCUUGAAAGGAACACUUUCUUCCCGGGCUGUUAUUCCGUUGCACAAUAGCUUGGCCCUCUCCGAUACCCCUAUUGACCAUCUAAGAUUUUAAACGUGUUGAGGCGUCUGGAACUUUCGUCCAAAUAAAACUGCUGGGAGGGACCGAGCCUGUUGCUCUUUCGACGGCACGAAUGAGUAAGGAAGCUCGUGGGGGAGGCAAUCCAGACGGCGUGAGCGGCUGCUUUUCGGAGGAGACCCGGAGCAGCCGACCGAACUAAGGCGCCAGGGGGAAAAAAAGGCCAUUCUCGACCGCGCAGAAAACGAUGGCCGUUUUGAAUACUGAGGGCCCACGGAUAAGGGAGUUGUGCACAUUUUGUACAUUACAUGAUUUGAGGAUGUGAAAUGAAACCACCACUGGAUGCACAGUAUCUAAUUCAUCAGCAUAUAUUACAAUGUAGCUAGAAUUAUAUGGAAGCAAAUUCAAUUGAAGAUAAGAUUAUGUGGAGGACAAAGGGAAUGGCCCUGAAGAAUAGGAGGAAGAGCCACUGCCAAGGCAAUAGUCAGAUAAGCAGGGCUUGAACCCAGAACAAGAAAGAAACUUGAAAAAACAUCUCAGACAAGACCCUCCAUAGUUCACACAAAGUUAAAUUGAGGGGAGGAAGCACAUUCAGACUUGCAAGA
This is a non-coding RNA of Python bivittatus (Burmese python), 783 nucleotides long. Lineage: Eukaryota; Metazoa; Chordata; Lepidosauria; Squamata; Pythonidae. The record is from RefSeq and is a predicted model, not a curated record.